ACUCCUACGGGAGGCAGCAGUAGGGAAUCUUCCACAAUGGGCGCAAGCCUGAUGGAGCAACACCGCGUGAGUGAAGAAGGGUUUCGGCUCGUAAAGCUCUGUCGUUAAAGAAGAACACGUAUGAGAGUAACUGUUCAUACGUUGACGGUAUUUAACCAGAAAGUCACGGCUAACUACGUGCCAGCAGCCGCGGUAAUACGUAGGUGGCAAGCGUUAUCCGGAUUUAUUGGGCGUAAAGAGAGUGCAGGCGGUUUUCUAAGUCUGAUGUGAAAGCCUUCGGCUUAACCGGAGAAGUGCACCGGAAACUGGAUAACUUGAGUGCAGAAGAGGGUAGUGGAACUCCAUGUGUAGCGGUGGAAUGCGUAGAUAUAUGGAAGAACACCAGUGGCGAAGGCGGCUACCUGGUCUGCAACUGACGCUGAGACUCGAAAGCAUGGGUAGCGAACAGGAUUAGAUACCCCUGGUAGGAUAGCG
RNAcentral lists this ribosomal RNA (474 nucleotides) under uncultured bacterium. RNAcentral's name for it is "bacterial SSU rRNA". It matches the Rfam family "Bacterial small subunit ribosomal RNA", at positions 335 to 801 of the family's 1533-position model. The record is from RNAcentral.